Molecule: ribosomal RNA, 301 nt
Filed under: uncultured bacterium
Lineage: Bacteria
Description: partial 16S ribosomal RNA
Rfam family: Bacterial small subunit ribosomal RNA
Source: RNAcentral
CAGCCGCCGCGGUAAUACGGAGGGGGCUAGCGUUGUUCGGAAUUACUGGGCGUAAAGCGCACGUAGGCGGCUUUGUAAGUUAGAGGUGAAAGCCUGGAGCUCAACUCCAGAAUUGCCUUUAAGACUGCAUCGCUUGAAUCGCGGAGAGGUGAGUUGAAUUCCGAGUGUAGAGGUGAGAUUCGUAGAUAUUCGGAAGAACACCAGUGGCGAAGGCGGCUCACUGGACGCGUAUUGACGCUGAGGUGCGAAAGCGUGGGGAGCAAACAGGAUUAGAUACCCGAGUAGUCCCUGUCUCUUAUAC